CUUGAUGGGAUGGGGGCGUCAUGAUGGUGACAUCGUGACAGGAUGGGGACAUUGGGAUGGGAUGGGGACAUCAGGAUGGUGACAUCAUGACAGGAUGGGGACAUCAGGAUGGGAUUAAUGGGGACAUCGUGAUGGGAUGGGGACAUCGUGGUGGGGACAUCGUGGUGGUGACAUCGUGGUGGGGACAACAUGGUGGUGACAUCGUGAUGAGAUGGGGACAUCAGGAUGGGAUGGAUGGGGACAUCGUGGUGGUGACAUCGUGAUGGGAUGAGGACGUCAUGGUGGUGACAUCGUGGUGGGAUGGGGACAUCAUGGUGGGAUGGGGACGUCGUGAUGGGGACG
This 342-nucleotide long non-coding RNA is filed under the name Phasianus colchicus (ring-necked pheasant). RNAcentral's name for it is "lncRNA (ENSPCLG00000016594.1)". Lineage: Eukaryota; Metazoa; Chordata; Aves; Galliformes; Phasianidae. The record is from RNAcentral.